GACGAACGCUGGCGGCGUGCUUAACACAUGCAAGUCGAACGGAAAGGCCCUGCUUUUGUGGGUUUCUCGAUUGGCGAACGGGUGAGUAACACGUGAGUAACCUGCCCUUGACUUUGGGAUAACUUCAGGAAACUGGGGCUAAUACCGGAUAGGAGCUCCUGCUGCAUGGUGGGGGUUGGAAAGUUUCGGCGGUUGGGGAUGGACUCGCGGCUUAUCAGCUUGUUGGUGGGGUAGUGGCUUACCAAGGCUUUGACGGGUAGCCGGCCUGAGAGGGUGACCGGCCACAUUGGGACUGAGAUACGGCCCAGAAUCCUACGGGAGGCAGCAGUGGGGAAUAUUGCACAAUGGGCGGAAGCCUGAUGCAGAAACGCCGCGUGCGGGAUGACGGCCUUCGGGUUGUAAACAGCUUUCGACUGUGACGAAGAGUGAGUGACGGUAAUGGGUAAAGAAGCACCGGCUAACUACGUG
RNAcentral lists this ribosomal RNA (468 nucleotides) under uncultured bacterium. RNAcentral describes it as "partial 16S ribosomal RNA". It matches the Rfam family "Bacterial small subunit ribosomal RNA", at positions 28 to 507 of the family's 1533-position model. The record is from RNAcentral.